GAUCCUGGCUCAGGAUGAACGCUAGCUACAGGCUUAACACAUGCAAGUCGAGGGUCAGCAUGUAUCUGGCUUGCCAGAUACGAUGGCGACCGGCGCACGGGUGAGUAACGCGUAUCCGACCUGCCGCACACUCCGGGAUAGCCUUGCGAAAGCAAGUUUAAUACCGGAUGCCGUAAGGACGCCGCAUGGUGUUUUUACGAAAGGGGUUUACCGGUGUGCGAUGGGGAUGCGUCCCAUUAG
RNAcentral lists this ribosomal RNA (240 nucleotides) under uncultured bacterium. Its description in RNAcentral is "partial 16S ribosomal RNA". It matches the Rfam family "Bacterial small subunit ribosomal RNA", at positions 15 to 244 of the family's 1533-position model. The record is from RNAcentral.